RNAcentral lists this ribosomal RNA (495 nucleotides) under uncultured bacterium. RNAcentral describes it as "partial 16S ribosomal RNA". It matches the Rfam family "Bacterial small subunit ribosomal RNA", at positions 28 to 507 of the family's 1533-position model. The record is from RNAcentral.
GACGAACGCUGGCGGCGUGCCUAAUACAUGCAAGUAGAACGCUGAAGGAGGAGCUUGCUUCUCCGGAUGAGUUGCGAACGGGUGAGUAACGCGUAGGUAACCUGCCUGGUAGCGGGGGAUAACUAUUGGAAACGAUAGCUAAUACCGCAUAAGAGUAGAUGUCGCAUGACAUUUGCUUAAAAGGUGCAACUGCACCACUACCAGAUGGACCUGCGUUGUAUUAGCUAGUUGGUGAGGUAACGGCUCACCAAGGCAACGAUACAUAGCCGACCUGAGAGGGUGAUCGGCCACACUGGGACUGAGACACGGCCCAGACUCCUACGGGAGGCAGCAGUAGGGAAUCUUCGGCAAUGGACGCAAGUCUGACCGAGCAACGCCGCGUGAGUGAAGAAGGUUUUCGGAUCGUAAAGCUCUGUUGUAAGAGAAGAACGAGUGUGAGAGUGAAAAGUUCACACUGUGACGGUAUCUUACCAGAAAGGGACGGCUAACUACGUG